CACGUAGGCGGACUCUUAAGUCGGCGGUGAAAUCCUGGAGCUCAACUCCAGAACUGCCUUCGAUACUGGGAGUCUCGAGUUCGGGAGAGGUGAGUGGAACUGCGAGUGUAGAGGUGAAAUUCGUAGAUAUUCGCAAGAACACCAGUGGCGAAGGCGGCUCACUGGCCCGAUACUGACGCUGAGGUGCGAAAGCGUGGGAGCAAACA
RNAcentral lists this ribosomal RNA (206 nucleotides) under uncultured bacterium. RNAcentral describes it as "partial 16S ribosomal RNA". It matches the Rfam family "Bacterial small subunit ribosomal RNA", at positions 568 to 774 of the family's 1533-position model. The record is from RNAcentral.